This 64-nucleotide transfer RNA is filed under the name Fuerstiella marisgermanici. RNAcentral describes it as "Fuerstia marisgermanicae tRNA". It matches the Rfam family "tRNA", at positions 17 to 71 of the family's 71-position model. From Rfam's summary of the family: Transfer RNA (tRNA) molecules are approximately 80 nucleotides in length. Their secondary structure includes four short double-helical elements and three loops (D, anti-codon, and T loops). Further hydrogen bonds mediate the characteristic L-shaped molecular structure. tRNAs have two regions of fundamental functional importance: the anti-codon, which is responsible for specific mRNA codon recognition, and the 3' end, to which the tRNAs corresponding amino acid is attached (by aminoacyl-tRNA synthetases). tRNAs cope with the degeneracy of the genetic code in two manners: having more than one tRNA (with a specific anti-codon) for a particular amino acid; and 'wobble' base-pairing, i.e. permitting non-standard base-pairing at the 3rd anti-codon position. The record is from Rfam by way of RNAcentral. Lineage: Bacteria; Pseudomonadati; Planctomycetota; Planctomycetia; Planctomycetales; Planctomycetaceae.
GGUGCAGUUCAGAGUUACUUCAUUCUUAAUGAAGAGGUCGUGGGUUCGAGUCCCACCUGCCGCU